AUUGAACGCUGGCGGCAGGCUUAACACAUGCAAGUCGAGCGGGGUGAUGGUGCUUGCACUAUCACUUAGCGGCGGACGGGUGAGUAAUGCUUAGGAAUCUGCCUAUUAGUGGGGGACAACAUCUCGAAAGGGAUGCUAAUACCGCAUACGUCCUACGGGAGAAAGCAGGGGAUCACUUGUGACCUUGCGCUAAUAGAGGAGCCUAAGUCGGAUUAGCUAGUUGGUGGGGUAAAGGCCUACCAAGGCGACGAUCUGUAGCGGGUCUGAGAGGAUGAUCCGCCACACUGGGACUGAGACACGGCCCAGACUCCUACGGGAGGCAGCAGUGGGGAAGAUUGGACAAUGGGGGGAACCCUGAUCCAGCCAUGCCGCGUGUGUGAAGAAGGCCUUAUGGUUGUAAAGCACUUUAAGCGAGGAGGAGGCUCUUUUGGUUAAUACCCAAGAUGAGUGGACGUUACUCGCAGAAUAAGCACCGGCUAACUCUGUGCCAGCCGCCGCGGUAA
This 503-nucleotide ribosomal RNA is filed under the name uncultured bacterium. RNAcentral describes it as "partial 16S ribosomal RNA". It matches the Rfam family "Bacterial small subunit ribosomal RNA", at positions 30 to 523 of the family's 1533-position model. The record is from RNAcentral.